This 456-nucleotide long non-coding RNA is filed under the name Lactuca sativa (garden lettuce). RNAcentral's name for it is "long non-coding RNA (LSAT_LNC006349)". The record is from RNAcentral. Lineage: Eukaryota; Viridiplantae; Streptophyta; Magnoliopsida; Asterales; Asteraceae.
ACAUAACUCUAAUUACCACUCUAGGUAAAGUAUAGUGAGAAGACUCACCUCGGGUAACUCGGUAAAUCUCGAACUCGGUAAUACUCAUCUAGCCUCCGCCUAAUCACAUGGAAUAAUUACUCUAAUCAAUACUGUUGGAUUAGUGUCUAAGCCCAUAACCAUAUUUGGUAAGUACUUGGCCCGGUUGUGCAUGGUCCUUUUGGGUUGCCUUCACCAAAGCAACUUGACUGGAGAAAUAAUAGAGAAAGAGGUUAUUAUGAUUUAUUAAUAUAUUAUAAGAAUAAUAUAUUAAAGGACAACUCAUAUUUGUUUAAUUAAUAUUGGUCAAUGACUAAUUAAGAAUUAAUUCUGUGAUCAAAUCUAAUUAAUUAAACUAGAGGGGCUAAAUUGUAAUUAUGUGAUAGUUGCAAAUUAGGGCAAUGGAUUCCCCAUGGAUAGUGUGGACGAAUUCAAGGU